Molecule: ribosomal RNA, 587 nt
Filed under: uncultured bacterium
Lineage: Bacteria
Description: bacterial SSU rRNA
Rfam family: Bacterial small subunit ribosomal RNA
Source: RNAcentral
CCUACGGGAGGCAGCAGUGGGGAAUUUUGGACAAUGGGCGCAAGCCUGAUCCAGCCAUGCCGCGUGCAGGAUGAAGGCCUUCGGGUUGUAAACUGCUUUUGUACGGAACGAAAAGACUCUGGUUAAUACCUGGGGUCCAUGACGGUACCGUAAGAAUAAGCACCGGCUAACUACGUGCCAGCAGCCGCGGUAAUACGUAGGGUGCGAGCGUUAAUCGGAAUUACUGGGCGUAAAGCGUGCGCAGGCGGUUAUAUAAGACAGAUGUGAAAUCCCCGGGCUCAACCUGGGAACUGCAUUUGUGACUGUAUAGCUAGAGUACGGCAGAGGGGGAUGGAAUUCCGCGUGUAGCAGUGAAAUGCGUAGAUAUGCGGAGGAACACCGAUGGCGAAGGCAAUCCCCUGGGCCUGUACUGACGCUCAUGCACGAAAGCGUGGGGAGCAAACAGGAUUAGAUACCCUGGUAGUCCACGCCCUAAACGAUGUCAACUGGUUGUUGGGUCUUCACUGACUCGGUAACGAAGCUAACGCGUGAAGUUGACCGCCUGGGGAGUAACGGCCGCAAGGUUGAAACUUCAAAUGAAUUGACGG